AAACGGGUGGUAAUGCCGGAUGCUCCAUCACACCGCAUGGUGUGUUGGGAAAGCCUUUGCGGCAUGGGAUGGGGUCGCGUCCUAUCAGCUUGAUGGCGGGGUAACGGCCCACCAUGGCUUCGACGGGUAGCCGGCCUGAGAGGGCGACCGGCCACAUUGGGACUGAGAUACGGCCCAGACUCCUACGGGAGGCAGCAGUGGGGAAUAUUGCACAAUGGGCGCAAGCCUGAUGCAGCGACGCCGCGUGAGGGAUGGAGGCCUUCGGGUUGUAAACCUCUUUUGUUAGGGAGCAAGGCAUUUUGUGUUGAGUGUACCUUUCGAAUAAGCACCGGCUAACUACGUGCCAGCAGCCGCGGUAAUACGUAGGGUGCAAGCGUUAUCCGGAAUUAUUGGGCGUAAAGGGCUCGUAGGCGGUUCGUCGCGUCCGGUGUGAAAGUCCAUCGCUUAACGGUGGAUCCGCGCCGGGUACGGGCGGGCUUGAGUGCGGUAGGGGAGACUGGAAUUCCCGGUGUAACGGUGGAAUGUGUAGAUAUCGGGAA
RNAcentral lists this ribosomal RNA (539 nucleotides) under Bifidobacterium breve. RNAcentral's name for it is "bacterial SSU rRNA". It matches the Rfam family "Bacterial small subunit ribosomal RNA", at positions 154 to 703 of the family's 1533-position model. Lineage: Bacteria; Bacillati; Actinomycetota; Actinomycetes; Bifidobacteriales; Bifidobacteriaceae. The record is from RNAcentral.